Molecule: ribosomal RNA, 301 nt
Filed under: uncultured bacterium
Lineage: Bacteria
Description: partial 16S ribosomal RNA
Rfam family: Bacterial small subunit ribosomal RNA
Source: RNAcentral
CAGUAGCCACGGUAAUACAGAGGGUGCGAGCGUUAAUCGGAUUUACUGGGCGUAAAGCGUGCGUAGGCGGCUUUUUAAGUCGGAUGUGAAAUCCCUGAGCUUAACUUAGGAAUUGCAUUCGAUACUGGGAAGCUAGAGUAUGGGAGAGGAUGGUAGAAUUCCAGGUGUAGCGGUGAAAUGCGUAGAGAUCUGGAGGAAUACCGAUGGCGAAGGCAGCCAUCUGGCCUAAUACUGACGCUGAGGUACGAAAGCAUGGAGCAAACAGGAUUAGAUACCCCCGUAGUCCCUGUCUCUUAUACAC